ACUAAUUUUAUUUAUGAUAUGUUUAUGAAUCAUUGUCUUAAUAUUUUGUAAUUUUGUAGUAAUUAAUUGCUAUCAAAUAUCUCUACGGUUUGCUUCUUAUAAUCGAAUUGUUAUAGUCAUAAAAAAAAAGCAAUAUCAAAAAUGAUAAUUUUGUAGUGUUUAAAUGAUAUUAAAUAUUUUGGAAGUUUUAUUUUAAUAACUAAUCGUAUAAUUAAUGCGGAGAGAUUUUGGGAAGGUAGUUAAAUGCAAACAUUUAAUUUGUAGAUUUACUUUCUAAUUAUCAAAAACAAUUAUUAAAUAUCAGUGACAGCCACUAUAAAUAAGUCCCAAGUUGAGGAUUUAUUUCACAAAAUGACUGCAAAAAUGUAUAUUCCCCAUCAACAAAGAAGAUAUAAAUACAGAAUAUGAACUUUCGACAU
RNAcentral lists this small RNA (419 nucleotides) under Arabidopsis thaliana (thale cress). RNAcentral's name for it is "ATSL174420". Lineage: Eukaryota; Viridiplantae; Streptophyta; Magnoliopsida; Brassicales; Brassicaceae. The record is from RNAcentral.